UAAGACGAGCCUCACAAACGUUAUUCGGAAUUACUGGGCUUAAAGGGUGCGUAGGCGGUGCGGAAAGUUGGGUGUGAAAUCCCUCGGCUUAACCGAGGAAUUGCGCUCAAAACUACCGUGCUCGAGGGAGAUAGAGGAAUGCGGAACUUACGGUGGAGCGGUGAAAUGCGUUGAUAUCGUAGGGAACACCGGUGGCGAAAGCGGCAUUCUGGAUCUCUUCUGACGCUGAUGCACGAAAGCUAGGGUAGCAAACGGGAUUAGAUACCCCGGUAGUCCUAGCCGUAAACGAUGAGCACUGGAUUGAAGACCCCUCCAUAGGUUUUCAGUCGCAGAGAAAUUGUUUAGUGCUCCGCCUGGGGAGUAUGGUCGCAAGGCUG
RNAcentral lists this ribosomal RNA (377 nucleotides) under uncultured bacterium. RNAcentral's name for it is "bacterial SSU rRNA". It matches the Rfam family "Bacterial small subunit ribosomal RNA", at positions 521 to 896 of the family's 1533-position model. The record is from RNAcentral.